CCUGCCCCCCCCUCCCUUACAUCGCCCCCCCCCCAAAUCAAACCCACCCGGCCCUGGGGACCGGGGGACGGGACCCCCCCAGCCGGGGGGGGGGCGGGGACAAAGGGGGGGUGAAUGAGGGGAGAUGGGGACCCCCCCCCGGGUGGGAUGGAGUGUGGGGGGGUGCUGGGGGCGCUGGGGGGGGGGUCUGCAUCCACCCCCCCCCCCCGGUGUCUGCAGCUGGAUGGGGCUGGUGGGGGUGUCCCAGUGCGUCCCAGUGCACCCAGUGCCUCCCAGUACAUCCAGUGUGUCCCACUGCCUCCCAAUACACCCAGUGUGUCCCAGUGCCUCCCAGUACACCCAGUGCGUCCCAGUACAUCCAGUGUCCCAGUGCUUUCCAGUACAUCCAGUGCAUCCCAGUGCCUCCCAGUACAUCCAGUGUGUUCCAGUAUAUCCAGUGCUUUCCAGUACAUCCAGUGUGUCCCAGUGUGUUCCAGUACAUCCAGUGCUUUCCAGUACAUCCAGCGUGUCCCAGUGCAUCCCUGUAUAUACUCAGUGCUCCCAGUGUGUCCCAGUGUACCCAGUGCAUCCCAGUAUACUCAGUGCCUCCCAGUAAGUCCCAGUGCCUCCCAGCACAUCCCAGUAUAUCCAGUUCCUCCCAGCACAUCCCAGUGUGUCCUAGUGCAUCUCAGUGCACCCAGUGUGUCCCAGUAUACCCAGUGCUUCCCAGUACAUCCCAGUGUACCCAGUGAGUCCCAGUGCCCCCAGCACAUCCCAGUGCCCCCAGUGCCUCCCAGUGCCCCGAGCAUCUCCCAGUAUAUCCCAGUGCCCCCAGUACAUCCUAGUGCCCCCAGUAUGGCCCAGUACACCCCAGUGCCCCCAGUGCCUCCCAGUGCCCCGAGCAUAUCCCAGUAUAUCCCAGUGCCCCCAGUACAUCCCAGUACCUCCCAGUUCUCCCAGCACAUCCCAGUACAUCCCAGUGCCCCCAGCAUGUCCCAGUACCUCCCAGUACAUCCCAGUGCCUCCCAGUGCCCCCAGUACAUCCCAGUUCUCCCAGCACAUCCCAGUGCCCCGCUGCCCGGAGCUGGGGGGGCUCCUCCCGCCCCCCCCCGUUACUGGGAGCCACUGGGGGUCACCGGGGGGCCACCCCCCCGUUACCCCCCCGUUACCCCCCCGGUGCCGCCCCCCUGUGCCCCCCCCCCCCGGUCCCGUCCCAGCGCCCCCGCCCCCCCCGAACCCCCCAGCCGGGGCCCCGGCGCCCCGGGCUGA
Molecule: long non-coding RNA, 1248 nt
Filed under: Cairina moschata (Muscovy duck)
Lineage: Eukaryota; Metazoa; Chordata; Aves; Anseriformes; Anatidae
Description: domestica (muscovy Duck (domestic type)) lncRNA (ENSCMMG00000003715.1)
Source: RNAcentral